This is a long non-coding RNA of Helianthus annuus (common sunflower), 260 nucleotides long. RefSeq lists it as uncharacterized. NCBI's taxonomy places the organism in Eukaryota, Viridiplantae, Streptophyta, Magnoliopsida, Asterales, Asteraceae. The transcript has 2 exons. The record is from RefSeq and is a predicted model, not a curated record.
GGAGAAACCGAUGAAGAAUGGGAACAAGAAGUCGAUGAAGGGCAAGUGAUGAAGAUGGUUAUCAAGAAGCGAAGCCCGCCGAAGGAUUACAACGCAUCAUCAGGUUUUCGUGGUGACGAUGGUGUGUUUUUUGGUUGGCUGCUAUGUGUUGUGAAGAUGGAUGUUGUUGUGAAGACCAUUUUUUAGAAGCAUUACAACUAUUGAUAUAAAAUUCAUUUUUAUUUUCAUUUUCAUUGUUAGUAUGCCCAUUUUUGGAUGAA